GACGAACGCUGGCGGCGUGCUUAACACAUGCAAGUCGAGCGGAAAGGCCCUUUCGGGGGUACUCGAGCGGCGAACGGGUGAGUAACACGUGAGUAAUCUGCCCUUCACUUGGGGAUAACUACCGGAAACGGUGGCUAAUACCCGAUACGACAACUUCUCGCAUGAGCUGGUUGUGGAAAGUCUUUUCGGUGGAGGAUGUGCUCGCGGCCUAUCAGCUUGUUGGUGGGGUAAUGGCCUACCAAGGCUUCGACGGGUAGCCGGCCUGAGAGGGUGACCGGCCACACUGGGACUGAGACACGGCCCAGACUCCUACGGGAGGCAG
This 322-nucleotide ribosomal RNA is filed under the name uncultured Actinomycetes bacterium. Its description in RNAcentral is "bacterial SSU rRNA". It matches the Rfam family "Bacterial small subunit ribosomal RNA", at positions 28 to 351 of the family's 1533-position model. The record is from RNAcentral. Lineage: Bacteria; Bacillati; Actinomycetota; Actinomycetes.